AGCUGACAUGCCAAUACAAAUUUCAUCUGGAUUAGAACAUUCCAUGAGUGAUUCACCGAAUGAAUCAUGAGUAAGAAGUGAACUGCAGGAUUUCUCGUCCGUAUAUUAUUUACUCCGAAGUUCGAAGUACUUUCUUGACAAGAAAACAAAAAGGAAGCGUUUUGGUUGAAAAAGUAAAACUCAAAAUAGGAUGAAUUCCUCCCGUGAAGAUCUUCCAAGAUGAGCACCGCCAAAAGAAAGGUAGAAGGAAUCGGGGUGUGUUUCGUUAUAUAUAUAUGUUGGGGUAUAUUGGGCCCUUGGAAGUGGCGCGGCCGUUCGAGUUCGUGUGUCUUUUAAUAUAUGUACGUAAUAUAUGUCCCCUCCGAAGCGGGGAACCAAGCGUUCGGGAGUCGUGUGGAUCGUGAGAGCGCUGUCGGAAAGCGCUAACAGUGCUGUAGACGGGAGCGGCUACAUGCUGUUAGCGGCGCUGCUUCCUGAACAUCAUAAUCAUAAUCAGGCAGGCUCCGGUUCAACAUUCUUUUUUUUUUUACCUGACCAAUUUUUUCAGAUCUAAUUUUUAGGUUGGUUUAAAUAAACAUUAUUUAUAAAAAGGACACAAGCUCAA
Long non-coding RNA from Drosophila obscura, 604 nucleotides. RefSeq lists it as uncharacterized. NCBI's taxonomy places the organism in Eukaryota, Metazoa, Arthropoda, Insecta, Diptera, Drosophilidae. The transcript is spliced from 3 exons. The record is from RefSeq and is a predicted model, not a curated record.